Molecule: long non-coding RNA, 396 nt
Organism: Rhipicephalus microplus (southern cattle tick)
Lineage: Eukaryota; Metazoa; Arthropoda; Arachnida; Ixodida; Ixodidae
Source: RefSeq, a predicted model, not a curated record
CUUAAAUGCCUCGGAGGAGCGAACCGUCAGCACCGCCGACGCCGUGACGAGAUUUACGGCCCACCACGACGACACCCCGCCCAUCCUUCGGUGUCAUCGUCGACGACGCGGGAAACACAUGGACGCAUGCAGUCGUGUUUUGUGGUGAACUUCUGAAUCAUUCCACGCAUCUCCACGAAGUGAAUUAUGACGAUUGGGCGAAGCUCCGGGUGUCUUACGGUAGUCGUAGGCAAUUCAAGGUGAAUUGGAAAAAUUGCUGGAGUGGAGGACACGCCUUGAAAGUGAGUUCUGGAACCAGCCAUCUUCCCUGUGGUCCUCCUUCUCGCAAAGUGAAGGCACACACAGUCCGACUUUGUACAGUGGUAUGGCAAGUCGAGACCCGCUUUCGGCUUGCUU